GAGUUUGAUCAUGGCUCAGGAUGAACGCUAGCGAUAGGCUUAACACAUGCAAGUCGAGGGGCAUCACGGGAUUAGCUUGCUAAUUUUGGUGGCGACCGGCGUAAGGGUGCGUAACGCGUAUGCAACUUGCCUGUCAGUGGGGAAUAACCCGGAGAAAUCCGGACUAAUACCGCAUACACUUUGGUUCCCGCAUGGGGACUUUAGGAAAGAUUUAUUGCUGACAGAUAGGCAUGCGUUCCAUUAGAUAGUUGGUGAGGUAACGGCUCACCAAGUCAACGAUGGAUAGGGGAGCUGAGAGGCUUAUCCCCCACACUGGAACUGAGACACGGUCCAGACUCCUACGGGAGGCAGCAGUGAGGAAUAUUGGUCAAUGGGCGAGAGCCUGAACCAGCCAAGUCGCGUGAAGGAAGACGGUCCUAUGGAUUGUAAACUUCUUUAGUAGGUGAGUACAAGCAGUUACGUGUAGCUGUAAGC
Molecule: ribosomal RNA, 474 nt
Filed under: Porphyromonas cangingivalis
Lineage: Bacteria; Pseudomonadati; Bacteroidota; Bacteroidia; Bacteroidales; Porphyromonadaceae
Description: bacterial SSU rRNA
Rfam family: Bacterial small subunit ribosomal RNA
Source: RNAcentral